Long non-coding RNA from Cyprinodon tularosa, 236 nucleotides. RefSeq lists it as uncharacterized. The record is from RefSeq and is a predicted model, not a curated record. NCBI's taxonomy places the organism in Eukaryota, Metazoa, Chordata, Actinopteri, Cyprinodontiformes, Cyprinodontidae. The transcript has 2 exons.
UCCAGAAUACGUGAGCAGAAACGUCAGCAGGAGAUGGAGAGGGAGAAGGAGAAGCAGAGGAAGUGUAAACGAGCUCUAACAGUGAGACAGAAAAUGCCUGGAAGAAAGCUCAUGGAAAGAAGUCGUCCUUUACCAAAGGUGGAAGUCAAGAAAGAGCCCUCUGAUGUCCAAUAUACACCAGAGGGUUGGCUGUUUCAUCACAUUUUAUCUAAAUAAAAUAACUCCCUGUUCAAAAA